Molecule: ribosomal RNA, 1372 nt
Filed under: uncultured bacterium
Lineage: Bacteria
Description: bacterial SSU rRNA
Rfam family: Bacterial small subunit ribosomal RNA
Source: RNAcentral
GAUGAACGCUGGCGGCGCGCCUAAUACAUGCGAGUCGAGCGAACGGACGAGAAGCUUGCUUCUCUGAUGUUAGCGGCGGACGGGUGAGUAACACGUGGAUAACCUACCUAUAAGACUGGGAUAACUUCGGGAAACCGGAGCUAAUACCGGAUAAUAUUUUGAACCGCAUGGUUCAAAAGUGAAAGACGGUCUUGCUGUCACUUAUAGAUGGAUCCGCGCUGCAUUAGCUAGUUGGUAAGGUAACGGCUUACCAAGGCAACGAUGCAUAGCCGACCUGAGAGGGUGAUCGGCCACACUGGAACUGAGACACGGUCCAGACUCCUACGGGAGGCAGCAGUAGGGAAUCUUCCGCAAUGGGCGAAAGCCUGACGGAGCAACGCCGCGUGAGUGAUGAAGGUCUUCGGAUCGUAAAACUCUGUUAUUAGGGAAGAACAUAUGUGUAAGUAACUGUGCACAUCUUGACGGUACCUAAUCAGAAAGCCACGGCUAACUACGUGCCAGCAGCCGCGGUAAUACGUAGGUGGCAAGCGUUAUCCGGAAUUAUUGGGCGUAAAGCGCGCGUAGGCGGUUUUUUAAGUCUGAUGUGAAAGCCCACGGCUCAACCGUGGAGGGUCAUUGGAAACUGGAAAACUUGAGUGCAGAAGGGGAAAGUGGAAUUCCAUGUGUAGCGGUGAAAUGCGCAGAGAUAUGGAGGAACACCAGUGGCGAAGGCGACUUUCUGGUCUGUAACUGACGCUGAUGUGCGAAAGCGUGGGGAUCAAACAGGAUUAGAUACCCUGGUAGUCCACGCCGUAAACGAUGAGUGCUAAGUGUUAGGGGGUUUCCGCCCCUUAGUGCUGCAGCUAACGCAUUAAGCACUCCGCCUGGGGAGUACGACCGCAAGGUUGAAACUCAAAGGAAUUGACGGGGACCCGCACAAGCGGUGGAGCAUGUGGUUUAAUUCGAAGCAACGCGAAGAACCUUACCAAAUCUUGACAUCCUUUGACAACUCUAGAGAUAGAGCUUUCCCCUUCGGGGGACAAAGUGACAGGUGGUGCAUGGUUGUCGUCAGCUCGUGUCGUGAGAUGUUGGGUUAAGUCCCGCAACGAGCGCAACCCUUAAGCUUAGUUGCCAUCAUUAAGUUGGGCACUCUAAGUUGACUGCCGGUGACAAACCGGAGGAAGGUGGGGAUGACGUCAAAUCAUCAUGCCCCUUAUGAUUUGGGCUACACACGUGCUACAAUGGACAAUACAAAGGGCAGCGAAACCGUGAGGUCAAGCAAAUCCCAUAAAGUUGUUCUCAGUUCGGAUUGUAGUCUGCAACUCGACUACAUGAAGCUGGAAUCGCUAGUAAUCGUAGAUCAGCAUGCUACGGUGAAUACGUUCCCGGGUCU